This is a non-coding RNA of Triticum urartu, 56 nucleotides long. The record is from Rfam. NCBI's taxonomy places the organism in Eukaryota, Viridiplantae, Streptophyta, Magnoliopsida, Poales, Poaceae.
ACUUAGUUGGUAAAGCACAAGGCUCUUAACCUUGUGGACGUGGGUUCAAGCCCCAU